AGGAGAGUGUGACAGAAAGAGGAAGUCACUGGCGACGAUCAGCACACUUCACUUUACUUUCGCUUUUAUCAUAAAAAAAACUUUAUCCUCCAUAUUGUACGACACAAUCUAAAUCUAAACGUUACGUUAUAUCUAUUAGUUGCUAUACUGCUGAUUCCAGGAGUGGGUUUGCAUGAUACGGCCCACUGAGUGUUCAAAUGAUCAAUCUAAUGCAGAAGUUUGCCCAGCCUUGGUUUAGCUUCCAGGGGUCACCAACAUGGCGUCCGUGGGCACCAGGUCGGCCCUGAGGACCACUAACACCAUAUGCGUCCCAGUAAGAGGAUAAAAAGAAGUGAACAACAUGACACAAUUAUGAAUGGAAUGAAAAUGAGAAGAAAAGAACAGAAGUGGAUCUGCAAAAUAAAUGUCUUCAUCCUUGACAUUAAGACCAAGUACAUGUUUUACGUUUGCUAUUCAGUCAAGUCUAAUGUCAUUUUAUUUAUUUUUUUUACACUUGUAUGACAGCUAAAAAUGUUAAAAUAUGACUAAA
Phycodurus eques (leafy seadragon) is the source of this 529-nucleotide long non-coding RNA. RefSeq lists it as uncharacterized. The record is from RefSeq and is a predicted model, not a curated record. The transcript is spliced from 3 exons. Lineage: Eukaryota; Metazoa; Chordata; Actinopteri; Syngnathiformes; Syngnathidae.